Molecule: transfer RNA, 87 nt
Filed under: Planctomycetota bacterium
Lineage: Bacteria; Pseudomonadati; Planctomycetota
Description: Planctomycetes bacterium tRNA-Leu
Rfam family: tRNA
About the family: Transfer RNA (tRNA) molecules are approximately 80 nucleotides in length. Their secondary structure includes four short double-helical elements and three loops (D, anti-codon, and T loops).
Source: RNAcentral
GCCAGGGUGGCGUAACCGGUAGGCGCGCGAGACUUAAAAUCUUGUGGAGGUAACUCCGUACGGGUUCGAUUCCCGUCCCUGGUACAA